This 292-nucleotide ribosomal RNA is filed under the name uncultured bacterium. Its description in RNAcentral is "partial 16S ribosomal RNA". It matches the Rfam family "Bacterial small subunit ribosomal RNA", at positions 505 to 796 of the family's 1533-position model. The record is from RNAcentral.
GUGUCAGCAGCCGCGGUAAUACGUAGGUGGCAAGCGUUGUCCGGAUUUACUGGGCGUAAAGAAUGCGUAGGCGGAUAUUUAAGUCAGAUGUGAAAUCCCUAAGCUUAACUUGGGGGCUGCAUUUGAAACUGGGUAUCUAGAGUGCGGGAGAGGAGAGUGGAAUUCCUAGUGUAGCGGUGAAAUGCGUAGAGAUUAGGAAGAACACCAGUGGCGAAGGCGACUCUCUGGACCGUAACUGACGCUGAGGCAUGAAAGCGUGGGGAGCAAACAGGAUUAGAAACCCGCGUAGUCC